AGCUGACUUGCUGAGUCUUCUGGCCUCCAUCUUUCUUCCAUGCUAGAUGCUUCCUGCCCUGGAACAUCGGACUCCAAGUUCUUUGGCUUUUGGACUCUUGGGCUUACACCAGUGGCUCUCAGGUGUUUGCCCACAGACUGAAGCCUGCACUGUAAGCUACUCUACGUUUGAGGUUUUGGGACUUGGACUGAGCCACUACUGGCUUCCUUCCUCUUCAAUUUGCAGACAGCCUGUUGUGGGACUUCACCUUGUGAUUGCAAUCCACGCUCCUUACCAUGUGAAUUUGCUGUUCCUCCUAUUCAAGAGCCAGAGCGUAUUUCCCCUGCCCUUUGAAUUUAUGCUCAGCCGUGGACUUGCUUUGGCCAAUAGAUUGAGGUGGAAUUGAAGGAACAGCCACUCUACGCCUAAGCCGCGAGAGACUUUGUGUUUCCACUUGCUCGGCAAGCCCACUGAUCCCAAGAGGAGGAUGAGAGACUCAUGGACAGAGCUGAGCUGCCCCAAUGAGCCAGACCCACAGACCCGUGAGUUAAAUAAAUGCUGAUGGGUGUAUGCCGCUGAUGAGUUGUUAUGGAUGUUUGUUAUGCAACAAUA
RNAcentral lists this long non-coding RNA (591 nucleotides) under Homo sapiens (human). RNAcentral describes it as "HSALNT0268386". Lineage: Eukaryota; Metazoa; Chordata; Mammalia; Primates; Hominidae. The record is from RNAcentral.